GCUCCCUUCGCCGCGCCUCGCGUGCUAGCGGUGCCCUUGUGAGCCACUGCGUUCUCCAAGGCCAGAACGGGACAGUUGACGAUGGUCGUACUUCUCCAUGUUCUGAGACCAGUUUAAACAAAAACAAAAACCAGACAACAACCUUGCAAGGGAAAGAAUUCAGAGUAAAUAAACAGUCUUUUUCUGGGAAGUAAAAUAUUUCCCUAAGAUGGAGAAAUUGAGAUGAGAGCUCAUCCACAAGAUUACCCAUCAAUGAGCACCAAUAGCAACCAAAUCCACUAGAAGACUGGGAGCUUUUAAGUCAAGAAACUUACAUCAGUAUCAUCAUUCCAAGAAGCGGUAUCCAAGCUGUUUUAUCGAAAGUGCGCAUGGGAGGCAGAUUUUGACUCCAAAAGUCCAGGAUGGGGCCUGAGGUUCUGCAUGUCUAACAAUUUCCCAGCUGAUGCCAAAGCUGCUGAUCAGAGUCUACACCUUAAGAAAUAAGACUCUGAGAAUUUAUAGAAACAAACAUUAGAAGGCAGGAAUGUGGAGAGAAGAAAGCUACCUGACAAGGGAAUCUCAGGAUACAAGGAAAACACCAAGAGUCUCUCCUGUUGCCCAGGCUGGAGUACAGCCGCGCAAUCUCAGCUCACUGCAACUUCUGCCUCCCAGGUUCAAUAGAAUCUCCUGCCUCAGCCUCCCAAGUAGCUGGGAUUACAUGCAUGUGCCACCACGCACGGCUAGAGAACUAUUGAUGAGAUGAAGUGAUGCAUCUUCAAGUUAACUAGUACCUGUCUGUUCUUCUACAUUGUACAUUAGAUAACUCACCAACUCCUCAGAAGACUGAAGCCUCAGCAGAAGUCCCCAUGAGUCCCUACAGCCACAAUAAAUUGAAUUCUGCCAAAAAUCUUAAUAAGCUUGGAAGAAGACCUUCAGCUCCUGAUGAGAACCCAGCCAGAAACAAGAUGAGAACCCAGAAACAAGAUUUUCAUCUUAUUUCAACCUGAGCAGAGAACCCAGAGGAGCCCUGGCCAGAUUUUUGGUCUACAGGAUUGAGAAGACACCUGCCUGAGGGUCUUAUAGCUAAUGGACUGCAGAAGACUUGAGUCAUCAUUCAAAUUCAGUAGCCAUCCUCUGAUGUCCAGUUGAAGAUUGGUGAUUCCAGAAUAGCUCGCAUUGCCCCAGUUGACUUGCCACACAGCUUCUUUCAGGACUUGAAAAUGUCCUAGCCACCCCCAUCUUACCUCCUACUUCCAAUGCCUUUUAAGAUAGAAAACAAAAAACAAAACAACAAAAAAACACCAGCCACCCUUGUGGGUUAGAUAAUCCUACAUCAAGGUGAAUUCUUGAUAACCAGUUCUGUUCUUCCUUAUGUCUUGUAAACAUGCUAAUUAGAAGGAGCUUGUGUUUGAAGAUCAAGGGAGGAAGAAUUCUGAAGCCAGGGCUAGCCUUAGGGGACAUAACUCCUUCCAGUCACUUCCUGAAUUUUUUGGUACCUGGCUUUUGAGAGUCCUCCAAAGUGAGAAUUUCAUGACAUGUAACCUCUCAACACCUGCAUUUUAAAAAAUUGUCCAAAAUACCGCAGAUACCACAGAAAAGUCCAAAACUUAAGUUUUUCCCUCCACUCAGAGCAUCUUAGCAACAUACUAACCAUAAGACUCUAAGCGCUCUUACCCUCAAUGCAAUUCUCACUGAAUAUCCUGUCAGGAGAACUCUACCUCUCUUCCAUGUUAUUAAGGUUAUUGUUCUUUGCAAGGUGUACACAACACAAAUAUAUUUCUUGGUGAAUGAACUCACUCUCAAAGACUGCUGUCCUUGGGGAUAUAGCCAACAUGCCAUAUCCACAACAUAGGUCUUCUUUACAGUCCUGUUGAAACAUGUAAGAUCAGCUACUAAGUCCCUGCAUCUCAGACAGGAACUUAAUAGAGUACAUUUAAAAAAAAAAUUCAGAAGUAAUUAAAACAAAUUGCAUACAAGCCACCUGUUUAGAAAGUUCAUAAAUUUUAUGCAAUUAUUUAUCUCUUUAUUUUUUCUGAAAUCAAGAGCAGAAUGUAUCCAAGUGAAACUAAAAGAGCGAGGUCAAGGGGAAACAACACAGGGCUUGUGGAGUCAUAAAUAUGUAUUAAAGCAGCAGAGUUAAUUUUGUCCCAAGUUCCAUAUUGGCCAGGAAAAAAGAAACAAGAUCAGCAGAGUUAACAGCUCUCAACCUGAAUAUGCCUCAGAAUUUCUAGGAGGACUUAAGUAAUGAGAUUCCUGGGUUUCUACAUGGACCAACUCAAUCAAACUCUUCAGGAGACAGCUGCUGUUGUUAGACUGUGUCUCCCAAAAUUCUUGUGUUGGAAACUUAGUUCCCAAUGUAAUGAUACUGGCAGGUGUGGCCUAGUGGGGGGUGUUUAGAUCAUGAGGGCUUCAGCCUCAUGAAUGGAUUAAUGUUGAUAUCUCAGGAGUGAGUUUCCUCUUGCUCUCUGUAGCCCUCUCUCUUGCCACAUGAUGACUUCCACCAGGUUAUGACUCAACAGGAAGGCCCUCACAAGAUGUGGAACCUCAAUCUUAGACUUCUCAGCCUCCAGAAGUGAGCCAAAUAAAUUUCUGUUCAUUAUA
This 2580-nucleotide long non-coding RNA is filed under the name Homo sapiens (human). Its description in RNAcentral is "lymphatic endothelial transcriptional regulator lncRNA 1". The record is from RNAcentral. Lineage: Eukaryota; Metazoa; Chordata; Mammalia; Primates; Hominidae.